GUGGGUUUGUGGUUCAGUGGUAGAGCGCUUGCCUCAUAUGCAUAAGGCUCUGGGUUCAAUCCCCAGCAUCACA
This 73-nucleotide transfer RNA is filed under the name Marmota monax (woodchuck). RNAcentral describes it as "tRNA.Met". The stretch from base 8 to 68 matches the Rfam family "tRNA", at positions 6 to 65 of the family's 71-position model. From Rfam's summary of the family: Transfer RNA (tRNA) molecules are approximately 80 nucleotides in length. Their secondary structure includes four short double-helical elements and three loops (D, anti-codon, and T loops). Lineage: Eukaryota; Metazoa; Chordata; Mammalia; Rodentia; Sciuridae. The record is from RNAcentral.